CAUUUACUCACUUCGUCUGGAAAUACUUGUCGAAGAAAUAGAUAUUUCUAGACAUAUUUUAGUUCUAGAUAUAUCCAUUUUUAUUGAUUUCUCUGACAAGUAUUUUUGGACGAAGGGAGUACUAC
Non-coding RNA from Triticum urartu, 125 nucleotides. The record is from Rfam. NCBI's taxonomy places the organism in Eukaryota, Viridiplantae, Streptophyta, Magnoliopsida, Poales, Poaceae.